UACGUAGGGUGCAAGCGUUAAUCGGAAUUACUGGGCGUAAAGCGUGCGCAGGCGGUUGUGCAAGACAGAUGUGAAAUCCCCGGGCUUAACCUGGGAACUGCAUUUGUGACUGCAUGGCUAGAGUGCGGCAGAGGGGGAUGGAAUUCCGCGUGUAGCAGUGAGAUGCGUAGAUAUGCGGAGGAACACCGAUGGCGAAGGCAAUCCCCUGGGCCUGCACUGACGCUCAUGCACGAAAGCGUGGGGAGCAAACAGG
This 253-nucleotide ribosomal RNA is filed under the name uncultured bacterium. Its description in RNAcentral is "partial 16S ribosomal RNA". It matches the Rfam family "Bacterial small subunit ribosomal RNA", at positions 524 to 776 of the family's 1533-position model. The record is from RNAcentral.